This 305-nucleotide ribosomal RNA is filed under the name uncultured bacterium. RNAcentral describes it as "bacterial SSU rRNA". It matches the Rfam family "Bacterial small subunit ribosomal RNA", at positions 335 to 638 of the family's 1533-position model. The record is from RNAcentral.
AUCCUACGGGACGCAGCAGUGAGGAAUAUUGGUCAAUGGGCGGGAGCCUGAACCAGCCAAGUCGCGUGAGGGAAGACGGUCCUAUGGAUUGUAAACCUCUUUAGGCGGGGAGCAAUGCCGGGCACGCGUGCCCGGAGGGAGAGUACCCGCAGAAUAAGCAUCGGCUAACUCCGUGCCAGCAGCCGCGGUAAUACGGAGGAUGCGAGCGUUAUCCGGAUUUAUUGGGUUUAAAGGGUGCGUAGGCGGAUUUUUAAGUCAGCGGUAAAAUGUCCGGGCUCAACCCGGGGCGGCCGUUGAAACUGGGG